Quercus robur (English oak) is the source of this 2499-nucleotide RNA transcript. It is a transcript of the gene named MACPF domain-containing protein At4g24290, with no coding region annotated. The transcript is spliced from 9 exons. Lineage: Eukaryota; Viridiplantae; Streptophyta; Magnoliopsida; Fagales; Fagaceae. The record is from RefSeq and is a predicted model, not a curated record.
UCUCUCACUAAACUCACUUUGCUCACCGUCAUUCACAACCCGUGCUUUUUUUCACAAACCUCUCUCUCUCUCUCUCUCUCUUUCUCUGAGAUAUUAGGGUUUUUCUCUCUCUAAAACCGUCACGAAAAUUCCAUUCCCUCGAGCUAGGGUCUCGAAGAUUCUUCGCAUCGCAAUCUCUGAAGUUCCGGAUCCAAGGGAGAGCUUCGUCUUCGACCGAACUCUGUGAGAGCUUUACUCAAAAUUUUUUUUUUUUCCUGAGCUCAGCGUUUGCAGCUGAGAAUUUGCGGUGAGAACGGAUUAAGAGUUUUCAUCUGGUUUGGGUGAAGAAGAGUGAUGAUAGAGAAAUGGCGUUAAAGGUUCCAGCUCCUGAAGCUGCUGAGAUUGCAAUUGGGUCCAUUGGGCGUGGGUACGAUAUAUCAGUAGAUCUAAGGCUUAAGUACUGCAAAGGGGAUUCAAAGGAGUCCCGGUUGAUUGAGAUUGAUGAAGAUGAGGGUCGCGAGAUUGUUUUGCCUGGUGGGAUUUUUAUCCCAAAAGUCUCCAAAUCAAUCAAAUGCGAUAAAGGGGAACGCACGCGGUUCAAGUCAGAUGCUCUAUCUUUCCAACAGAUGUCAGAGCAGUUCAACCAGGAAAUGAAUUUGACUGGCAAAAUUCCUUCGGGCCUCUUCAAUACCAUGUUCGAAUUCUCAGGUAGUUGGCAGAAAGAUGCAGCCAACACUAAGACCCUUGCUUUUGAUGGGGUGUUCAUCACGCUAUAUACAGUUGCAUUGGAGAAAUCUCAGAUGGUACUCUGUGAUCAUGUUAAGAAAGCAGUCCCUUCAUCAUGGGAACCUGCUGCACUGGCAAGAUUUAUUGAGACAUUUGGUACCCAUAUUAUUGUUGGAGUGAAGAUGGGAGGGAAGGAUGUAAUAUAUAUGAAGCAGCAGCAUUCAUCAACUCUUCAACCUGCUGAUGUGCAAAAAAGAUUGAAAGAGAUGGCAGAUAAAAGGUUUUUAGAUUCAAAUGGGCAAAAUGGCAUGGCUGUGGAACAAGUUUACCAGAAUGAGAAGUUUGAAAUCAGGGAGCAGCGGCUGAGGUUUGUAGGCAUCAGUCCAUCAAGUUCUUAUUCACACAAGGAGGAUAUUGUAAGCAUAUGCAAGAGGAGAGGUGGAGGUGAUAAUAGACACCUACCUCAUAAUGAUUGGUUGCAAACUGUCCAGUCUGAGCCUGAAGUGAUCUCAAUGUCCUUCAUCCCAAUUACGUCUCUAUUGAAUGGAAUACCGGGGAGUGGAUUCUUGAGCCAUGCCAUAAAUCUUUAUUUACGAUAUAAACCUCCAAUUGAGGAGCUCCACCAAUUUUUGGAAUUUCAGCUGCCCAGGCAGUGGGCACCUGUGUUCAGUGAUCUUCCACUUGGUCCACAACGGAAACAACAGAGCAAUGCAUCUUUGCAGUUUAGCUUUUUGGGCCCCAAGCUUUAUGUGAACACCUUACCGGUUGAUGUAGGUAAGAGACCAGUGACUGGUCUCCGCCUUUAUCUAGAAGGUAAAAGGAGUAACCGUGUGGCUAUCCACUUGCAACACCUCUCAUCUCUUCCCAAAAUCUUCCAACUUGAAGAUGAUCCCAGUGGAAACUUCCGCCAAGAGUCCAAUGAUCGUAAAUACUAUGAGAAAGUUCAAUGGAAGAACUUCUCUCAUAUCUGCACUGCUCCUGUGGAGUCCGAUGAGGAUCUUUCAAUAGUGACUGGAGCCCAAUUACAGGUUGAAAACUAUGGGUUUAAAAAAAUUCUCUUCCUGAGACUCCGUUUCUCGAAUGUUUUGGGAGCUACAGUUGUGAAACAUCCUGAGUGGGAUGGAUCUCCAGGGUUGGCUCCUAAAUCUGGACUUAUUUCAACACUAAUCAGCCAUCAUUUCACAACAGUUCAGAAGCCACCUCCGCGGCCAGCUGAUGUGAAUAUAAACUCUGCCAUUUACCCAGGAGGCCCUCCAGUACCCGUCCAAGCUCCCAAGCUUCUGAAAUUUGUUGAUACGACAGAAAUGACAAGGGGGCCACAAGAAACUCCCGGCUAUUGGGUUGUCUCUGGGGCUAGACUUGUUGUGGAGAAGGGCAGGAUUUCGCUCAGGGUUAAGUAUUCUUUAUUAACUGUUAUAUUACCGGAUGAUGAUGAUGAUGUGGAGGAGCUAUAGCUGAUUCUUUUGUUCUUUUCGGUUUUUUGCCUUUUUGGGCUUCCCUUGAAAAGCUGAAAAAGGGAAUGGGAUUCAAAGGUGGAUAAAAUGAAAAGAUUGAGAUUUAGAGAUGGAGUUACAGUGAAACAUAGGUAGUAUCAAGUAUGUAUUGAAACCAGAAUCAUUUAUUGUGAGAAUAGAUGGAGUUCAAGAGAAGUGAGGCGGAGGGGUUAAAGAAUGAAAGUUGAAAGUCGACAGAAGUUGCUGCCAUUGGUGUUCAUUGAGUCUGUUAAAGCCCAGGUUCAUGCGGGUAGGUUUGUUAAAAUGAAAGGAAAACGAAAAAAAAAAAAAAAAGUAAAAA